CUCAACAAUGGUUGAUGCCAUUUCAAUGACAGGAGCAAAAGAUGUCGGUCCUGCAAGUCGAAGAUUGGGCACGAUUUCCCUGUAGCGACUCAGAACUUCCUCAAAUCCAUUGCAGAAUCUCUCAUCAGGAUAGAAGCAGAAAACAUCCUGAUCAUGUGUGGAAGCAUCCCCAAAUCCAAAACAGGGAAUCAAGUUAUCCUCGUCAAAUGCAGCUAAAGUUUUUCCAAUAAUGGAUAUUGCUUGUUCAUAGGGAUUUACACCAUCUCCAAUGUGAUGCAAGCUUCGUCUGUUAAAUGAUCUUG
RNAcentral lists this unclassified non-coding RNA (302 nucleotides) under Hevea brasiliensis (rubber tree). The record is from RNAcentral. Lineage: Eukaryota; Viridiplantae; Streptophyta; Magnoliopsida; Malpighiales; Euphorbiaceae.